RNAcentral lists this ribosomal RNA (507 nucleotides) under uncultured bacterium. Its description in RNAcentral is "partial 16S ribosomal RNA". It matches the Rfam family "Bacterial small subunit ribosomal RNA", at positions 29 to 523 of the family's 1533-position model. The record is from RNAcentral.
AGUGAACGCUGGCGGUAGGCCUAACACAUGCAAAUCGAACGGCAGCACAGGAGAGCUUGCUCUCUGGGUGGCGAGUGGCGGACGGGUGAGGAAUACAUUGGAAUCUACUCUGUCGUGGGGGGAUAACGUAGGGAAACUUACGCUAAUACCGCAUACGACCUACGGGUGAAAGCAGGGGACCUUCGGGCCUUGCGCGAUUGAAUGAGCCGAUGUCGGAUUAGCUAGUUGGCGGGGUAGAGGCCCACCAAGGCGACGAUCCGUAGCUGGUCUGAGAGGAUGAUCAGCCACACUGGAACUGAGACACGGUCCAGACUCCUACGGGAGGCAGCAGUGGGGAAUAUUGGACAAUGGGCGCAAGCCUGAUCCAGCCAUACCGCGUGGGUGAAGAAGGCCUUCGGGUUGUAAAGCCCUUUUGUUGGGAAAGAAAUCCAGCCGGCUAAUACCUGGUUGGGAUGACGGUACCCAAAGAAUAAGCACCGGCUAACUUCGUGCCAGCCGCCGCGGUAA